This is a long non-coding RNA of Triticum aestivum (bread wheat), 1215 nucleotides long. RefSeq lists it as uncharacterized. The record is from RefSeq and is a predicted model, not a curated record. Lineage: Eukaryota; Viridiplantae; Streptophyta; Magnoliopsida; Poales; Poaceae. The transcript is spliced from 2 exons.
UAGUGGAUUUGUCGGGGAUCUCAGAAAGAUCUUAUUGAACCCUUAUAUAUAGAGAGAGAGAGUAACACUAUUUUAAUUCUAGAAUAAUUAUUCGGCACGAUCGGGCCUAUAAGAAGGCGCGGAGAUGUUCCUGGAUCUGAAAAAGCCAGCCCGCCCGAACUUCCCGUAAAAGAAAAAAAAAUCCCUCGGCGCCCACCUUAUCCACUCCCCCUGCGUCCUCCCACGAUCCUCCCCGGCCAACCUCCCGCCGCCGUCUCCCUGGCUCCGGCGCACCUCCCGCCGCUAGCCCCACGACCCCGGCGUGCUUCCCGCCGCUGCAUCCCUCGGCCCCGGUGCGCCCCCGCCGCCGCCCACCCUGGCUGUGACGCGCCUUCGCCACUACUUCGCCCACCCUGGCCCCGACGCGCCUCCAUCCGCCGCCCCCCGACGCGCCUCCCGCCGCCGCCCUUCCGGUCCCGAUGCGCCUCCUGCUGCCUCCCUCCACCUGCUUCGACGACGGCGCCGGCCACCUCCACCUUCUUCCACCUGCAGCCACCGGCCUCCUACCACAGCAAGCGACCGCCGCGGCCAUCCUCCACCUGUCGCUGUAGCCUUCCUAUCCGACCGCCUCCACGACACGCUGGCCUUCGUCUACCUCUGGCUCCGCUGCUGCCCAAGAUCGUGCUAUUCGUCAAUUGAACGCCAGUGAUGAUGCAUUGAUACAUCUGUCGACAUGAACCUGCUGGUGCUGGUUUCUUGCAUAGCUCGUGCUUAAAUAAGUGGUUUAUCUUCAGCUGUGUAGUUUAAAUAAGAGAGGAGCAAGUCCGCUUGAUCAAUCUAGAAAAGUGGAAGUCACUGUAAUCAACCAACUAGAUUUGUUUCUAGUUGGGAGGUUGAAAUGAGAAAAGAGAAACGCGUGGUCAAUUAGUAUGUCUUCUCAUUCAGCUGUUUGUAAUCGUGGGUGAGUUCAACAUGUCAGGUUUACAUUUAUGCCUGCUCGAGUAAAUGCCAUUUCAACGUGUCCUGUGCUGUAGAGGUACCGUUUUCUCUGAAUAUAUUGAUGUCAAAGUCAUCAGAAAGCUGCAUGUUAAUUACUCGAGACCACUAUGGGGAGAAUUGCAUCAAGAUGAGGAAGGUACGGGUCUGCACUCUGCAGUGUAAAUGCGGUUUCAGAAGCCUGUAUUAUAAACUGUAAUACAUCUUACAUUUGGUAUGCCAACCUAAAUUUCCAAUUAA